Molecule: small RNA, 1003 nt
Filed under: Pongo abelii (Sumatran orangutan)
Lineage: Eukaryota; Metazoa; Chordata; Mammalia; Primates; Hominidae
Description: processed transcript
Source: RNAcentral
GAGCGCCCGGGCCCGGGCGGCGGGGCGUGCGAGCCGCGGGGCGGAGAGCCGAGCUCGGGGCCGGUGCGGCGCGAGCUCAAGCAGUUCCUGGGCUGGCUCAAGAAGCACGCGUACUGCUCCAACCUCAGCUUCCGCCUCUACGACCAGUGGCGAGCCUGGAUGCAGAAGUCGCACAAGACCCGCAACCAGGGGAAGGCUUCAACCCAAUUUGUGAAGGUAUCAACACAGACUAGCUUAGCAGCGGAAGGACUCAUCAGUAUCUCCUGAUGGAAUAAGUACCCUUUGGCAUCAUCUUGCCAGAUCCAUCUUCCCUGAGUGCGGUCCCACCCUCUCCCACCGCAGCCAGGUCCUGAUCUGCACAGGCUGCUCCUGCUGCCAGCCUGGAUGGGAAGCCAUCCCUUACAACACACAUGCCUUCCUGUCGCAGCCUCUCUCCUCUCUAACUCCAAGCUGGAGCACCCAACACUCCUAGCUUCCUUCUCAAUUACACCAAAACUCUCCAGACCCCACACCACGAACAUCACUUAGUAUCUGCCAACCACUUGCCAAGCAUUGUUCACAUAUAAAAGUUGACUUAAAAAGACAAAAGAAUCGACCGGGCACAGGGGCUCAUGCCUGUAAUCCCAGCACUUUGGAAGGCCGAGGCCGACGGAUCAUUUGAGGUCAAGAGUUCAAGAUAAGCCUGGCUAACAUGGUGAAACCCUGUCUCUACUAAAAAUACAAAAACCAACUGGGCGUGGUGGCGGGCGCCUAUAAUCCCAGCUACUCGGGAGGCUGAGGCAGGAGAAUCGCUCGAGCCCGGGAGGUGGAGAUUGCAGUGAGCCGAGACCGCACCGCUGAACUCCAGCUCAGGCGACAGAGCGAGACUCCAUCUGAAAAAAAUACAAAUAGUCUAAAGAAAAGUCUAAAAAGCAGACACUACCACCAGGCCCUCCUUACAGACGUAGUAAUGCAGCCAGGUAUGAAGACUCAGCUCGAGAAAUUUAGUAUUUCCAAAGCGACU